Harpia harpyja (harpy eagle) is the source of this 420-nucleotide long non-coding RNA. RefSeq lists it as uncharacterized. NCBI's taxonomy places the organism in Eukaryota, Metazoa, Chordata, Aves, Accipitriformes, Accipitridae. The transcript has 3 exons. The record is from RefSeq and is a predicted model, not a curated record.
AGGCUCAGGCACACAAACAACCCGCCUUGGGUAGGAAGGCACCUCGCAUGAACUGGGCACCAACACCUCUCUGUAACUGUGCUUUUUCCCCCCAGACAAACUCACAGUAACGCAGAUUCUGGUACAAUUUUUCCGUCGGGGCUUGCAGCUUUGCUGAGAUACCUGCUUUCUUACGGAGGGUAGUGGCAGGCAGAUGGACAGCUACUCUGCUCCGGCUGAUGCACGUGCUGGGUGAAUGACAAAUCCCAGGAAAAACACUCUCAAGCUGAAGGCAACCUCAGAAGGUGGUCAGAGCACUUCUGUUUGGUGCAGCUCUCUGCCUGCAAAGUCUGAAGGUGGAGGUGGGGAGCAGAAGUGAGCCAGCGAUCAUGUUCUUGGCCACGUAGGACAGACUCACAGCCUGAGUACUAGAGCAGCAGC